GCCUGUUUGGCCAAGUGGCUAAGGCGUCUCACUCGUAUCACAAAUGCGACAUGAGAAGAGCACCAGUUCGACUCUGGUAAUAGGCA
RNAcentral lists this transfer RNA (86 nucleotides) under Yarrowia lipolytica. It matches the Rfam family "tRNA". From Rfam's summary of the family: Transfer RNA (tRNA) molecules are approximately 80 nucleotides in length. RNAcentral also lists the same sequence under 1 other name. Lineage: Eukaryota; Fungi; Ascomycota; Dipodascomycetes; Dipodascales. The record is from Rfam by way of RNAcentral.